GGGGAAUAUUGGCCAAUGGGCGAAAGCCUGAUCCAGCCAUGCCGCGUGUGUGAAGAAGGUCUUCGGAUUGUAAAGCCCUUUAAGUUGGGAGGAAGGGUUUAUGGUUAAUAUCCAUGCAUUUUGACGUUACCUACAGAAUAAGCACCGGCUAACUUCGUGCCAGCAGCCGCGGUAAUACGAAGGGUGCAAGCGUUAAUCGGAAUUACUGGGCGUAAAGCGCGCGUAGGUGGUUCGUUAAGUUGGAUGUGAAAGCCCCGGGCUUAACCUGGGAACUGCAUCCAAAACUGGCGUACUAGAGUAUGGCAGAGGGUAGUGGAAUUCCCUGUGUAGCGGUGAAAUGCGUAGAUAUAGGAAGGAACACCAGUGGCGAAGGCGACCCCCUGGGCUAAUACUGACACUGAGGUGCGAAAGCGUGGGGAGCAAACA
This 426-nucleotide ribosomal RNA is filed under the name uncultured Pseudomonadaceae bacterium. RNAcentral describes it as "bacterial SSU rRNA". It matches the Rfam family "Bacterial small subunit ribosomal RNA", at positions 356 to 774 of the family's 1533-position model. Lineage: Bacteria; Pseudomonadati; Pseudomonadota; Gammaproteobacteria; Pseudomonadales; Pseudomonadaceae. The record is from RNAcentral.